Molecule: RNA transcript, 5375 nt
Organism: Zalophus californianus (California sea lion)
Lineage: Eukaryota; Metazoa; Chordata; Mammalia; Carnivora; Otariidae
Exons: 7
Source: RefSeq, a predicted model, not a curated record
GCAGACGGCGGAGAGCUGAGAUGGAGCGCGCCUUGGCCCGCUGGCCUUGGCCGCAGCUCCUCGGGAGAACCGGGGCGCCCACGCGAGAAUCUCCCCACCUGGGUCUCUUCAGGGAUGACAUCAUCCGUUCACCUCCUUGUCUUCAAGGACCACCUCUCGAUGCCACGCUGCUGCCAAGAGGACACUAGGAGCUCCGACCCCUGGAUGGCACCCGCAUACAAAGCAGCCACUGGCAGAGAGCCCCCCAGGACGAGGAUGACGGAGGAUGAAGAGGACCAGAUCCGACCAGCCAGCUCUCCCUCUUGGCUGAAUGCUUAGACCAUUGCCCUAGUGAGGGGGCAUUGGUCAUUAACCCCUGGCGUUUGCGAUGCUUAUGGCUUGAUGCUGUGAAUACUUUCCUCUAAGUCUCUGCUUGUGUUCAUAUGCCAGCGACCUGGAGUGUUUCCCUCCCCAAGGAGUUGUCAGUCUCUCUCUGACGACAACCCUGUUGUUGCCUGUCUGAUGUCCUGAACAGAAGGAUCCCUUUGGGAACUUCUCAGGAGGGGGACCUGGGCCAAGGGCUCCACCAGCAUCUCACUGGCAAUUCCAAGGCCCAGGGUGGGCUUCUGGAAUGAGCAUGAGCCCUGACGCCAUGCUACCGAACUGCCAAGGGCAUCCCCACCUCUUCUCAGAUCUCCCUGUUCUUUCUGGGGAACGGGGACAAGAAGAGCAGCCUCCCAGGGUUGUUGUGAGUAUUGAAUGAGAUAAAACCGCCUCAGGCGGGGCUGGGCAUAGAGUUGGUGGUCAGCAAAUGUCUGGUGAAAAAAGUUUGGUAGAUCAGUCCCUUCCCACCCCUGUCACUCUUAUCUCAUGCUUCUCGUUUAUUCUCCCACAGCGCUCCAGGCAGCCCCUGUCUGCGGGGCUCUCCUUGAAGCAGCCAAGCUUCUCGAAAGGCCUGUCUACACUUGCUGUCUUCCUUCCUAACCUCCAAUUUCCUCUUCAACCCACUGCUUCCUGACUUGUUCUGCUCCGUCGAACGACCCUACCUCAGGUCAGCCCUGUCCUGGGCACACCGGCUGCGACCUGGCUGGGCCGGCCGAAGAACCAGAUGAAGAGGCUGAAGCAGCCCCUGGAGGACCCCUGGCCUGCACCACCAAGCCUGCCUUGUUGCCCGUUGCCUGGCAUCUCAGGCCCAGACCCGUGCCUCUCCACUUUCUCCUGGUUUGGGUUGAAGACACUGUCCGGAACCCUCCAUGGAAGGAGAGCCCUCGACACACGACCCAGCACCCUCCAGCGUUCAAAUCGGCAGACUAGGAUGGAAGUGCCCUUGUGAGCUGGGGGGCUCUUCAAAGGGCCAAGGACAAAACGCGGGCCGAGGGACCAGCCUCUCAAAUGGGCUCCGAGCUCCAAUGACCUUCGCUCACCCCCUUGAAAUGUCUGGAAAACAGAAUGGGCAGAUUUUCUGUCUUCAAAGUUUCCGGCUAAACCUCUUCAAGUUCUUUAUUGUUUGGGACUGAGACACUCAGCAAUGGUAAUGGGUAGUUUCUUUUGUAUUUGCCUUGAAAGGCCAAAAUAUUUUCAUAUUGCUACAGACAAAGCCGUCUAUUUAGAAAUGAACGCCAUGUCUGUCCUUUCCCACUGGGGAGACUAUGUACGACGUGUGUGUGUGUCUCUAUGUACUCUAGGGUCUUGAAACAGGUUUCUCAUGCGGAUGGCCAUUCACUGGGGUCCAGUGGGACAUGCCUGCCCUGCCAAGGGGGCCUGGGGAACCCGGCCCUGAUUGCACAUCUGUCCCAGUUGGUCUGGGACGUGAGCCCCGGGAGGGUCCGGCUGCUCUAACAUUGACUCUGCCCUGUGCCUACAUCUGCCACGUGUGUGUGUUAGGGACUGUGGCUUGUGCCUUGGUGGUCAGCUUGGUGGGAGGAAGCAGAAGGGUCCAAGAUACUGUGGAUGUUCUCUUUCUCUUGUUGGGAGGUCAUCUCACGGGUGUCUGUUACAUGAUCCACAUAAGGGCCCACGGAUGGAUGAAUGAAGGCAGAAAGGAGUGGAUCGACAAAUAAAUAGGUAAAGAAGGGAGCAAGCCAGGAUGAGCGUGCCACGAACGAGGUCCCGUCUGAUGCCUAGGACAUUGAUCUCUAAAUAAAGUAUUGAAUCACCAUGUAAAGAGAGCCCCACAUGAGCUGAUACUCAGUCCUCAUGGACCCAGGAAUAGGUGUAAAUGAAAAUAGAUAGCCCCUGAAGUUUACCAAUAAAAGAAUAAAAUGUAAAUAGAAGAGAGAAUGACCGAGGGGUGGAAAUGCAGAAGCCGGUAGCCACAGGACCGUGUGGUGUGCUUACGCAGUCGCUAGGAGGCCAGAUCUUCUGGGCACUGUUCUGAUCACAAAUGAUAGCAAUGAUGAUGAUCCUUUUGGGCGGGAGGAAACUCCUGGAGGGAUGGAUAGGCUUCGGACAGGAUGGUGGCGAUGGGUUCGUGGUGCGCACUGUGUGUCGAAACACGAAAUUAAAAGGCGUAAAGAGAAGGUCACUGAAAGGGCUCCCAAAGCACUGGUGAGAACAAGAGGGUGAGUCCCAUCAAAACGAGCAGGUGCAAGAGAGCGAGAGAGGGAGCAAGUGAUUGGGAGGGAGAGGGGGCACGACAAAACAUACAUAGUAAACGGAAGGAAGAACGAGCAUUUUCUUAAAUCAGGGGAGGCACAAAUACAUAAGGAGGCCAGGUGGUCAUAAACCAGGAAUUAGGACGAGUCCACACCUGGGCUCCUGGCGUAGACAAAUAAUUAGCAGGCGAGAGUUCAAAGAAGAGGUAAAAAAAAAAAAAAAAAAAAAGAGAGAGGACCCAGGACACCCAGGAAGAGAGGUAACUUUUACCAAAAGUUGUCUAACUCCAGGCACACAUAAAGAAAUAAAUGAAUACGGAAAUGAAAGAAAGCCAAAGAGAGAGAGUGAGCAGUGGAAACUCUUGGACCCAGCUGGGAGCAUGGCGUGAGGGGCUUGUGUCCCCCGGUCCUGGGGCCUGAGUCUGUCCCGUGAAAGGAUAAAAAGGAGAAUAAAGUAAAAUAUCCAAAUAAAAAUCAAGAAGCGUGGAGGGAAAAAACGACAGGUACUCGGUCCAGAAAUACAGGAAUGGGUGAAUAAAUACAUACAGGUAGACAGUGGUAGGAUUCGUGGUGGAAGGCUGUCAUGCAGCAAAGGUUAUGGUGAGUCCAGUUCUACCAGCCAGGGUGCUAUCAAUAAAAUAAGACGUCUCUAAAUCAACAAGUAAUUCAGGAUCCAGAGAAACAGACGGGGCGGAGUAAAGGGGAGCCGGGCCUCUGGGCAGCAGGGUUGUCAUUAAUCCCAUCUGGGCCCCAAAGCCCCUGGAGAAGGAAGGCAAGCAAGUGGAGGGGAGAAGCAAAGCCGAGCAGGAGGGAAGGACCGCUCUCAGGGUGUUGGCAACCCAACGGAGAGAUGGGGUGGGUAGGUAGGGGAAUCCACGGGAGAGGGUGGGCUCAAACCGCGGAUGGGCCAGAGUCUGGGCAUUCGCUUCCAUUAAUAGUGGAGUAAGUAGCUGAUAAGGAAAAAGAAAACAGGAAGGGAGAAUGGUUAGAAGGAAGGAAGGAAGGCAGGCACACACAGAGGAGCUGCAGGGGUCGGGGAUGGCCAUUUGCAGGUGGCGUUACGAUUCAUCGGUCUGGGCCACUGAGCGCCAAAGAUGGAAAGAACGCAAGAAAGGAGAGAGACAGAGAGAGAAGCAGAAGAACGGGCUGGGGCUGGGGCAGACGGUUGACUACAGAUUAGCAUGUUUGCAGGUAGGUGUGUUUGCCUCCAGGAGCGUAAAAAUAGGUACUUCACUAGCGAGAAGGACCUGAGGGAUCCAUGAGCGCCCUAGGGAAGGAGUGAAGGAGAAAGAAGGUUUGUGUUAACCGAUGAGGAGGGUGCCUGAUUUCCAAAAGAAUGAAACGCAGUGAGAACGACUGAAAGAAAGGGUGGGAGAGAGAAAAAAAAAAACAACAAUCAAGAUGGGGAAAAAAGAUAAAAAUUAAAAAAAAACUAUAAAAAAUAAUAAAUAAAUAGGUCAAACAGUUAGGUCUAGGAGAGGGAAAUGGCUUAGCACCAAUUCAUCCACAUUCAUUCAGCUCUGGGGCCCGGAGUUUAUAAAUGAUAAAAACAAGACCAUAAACAAAAAGACUGACAACACGUAGGGAUGCGGGAGAGAGGCUCACGCUGGAGCCAGGAACGCGAGCAGGCGCCGUGAGCCCAGAGUUACGACUGAUUCAAAACUGGGCUCUGGAGACGGUGAAAUGAAUCCCAGACCAAAUCAGCAGUACGAGGAAUUAACGAACAAAAGGGAGCCUCGUGUGCACGGGCGCUGCGAAGGCUCCGGGAGCCACAGAUUAUGGUUAAUCCAAUUCUGUGCACCUGCGGUCCAUAAAUAAAAGAAUAAAUAUUGAAAUAGAAGGGUGACAGAAAGAACGAAUGGACACCGGAAUGACUGAAUUAGAAAUGGCGAUGCUUGGGACAGCCAGGAGAGCGCUGCCCUUGGGAUCUUCACUCAUCAGACUCCGUGCACCUGAGCCCCCCCCCCCCCGCCCGCCCGCCCGCCCCCAGCCAAAAGAUGCAGGGACCCAGUGCAAAGGGGAAGAGAGAGGAGGAGAGUGGAGGGAGACGAAGUGAACAAGGGAAGGGGGGGAAGGACACCAGAGAAGAGCACCGUGGGUGUGUCCAAAGGAGCAGGCUCUGUUCGGAUGAGCCAUGAGCUCCUCAGUCCUAAGGUUUCCAGGGCGAGGGAAGUGGAGGGAGUAGAAAAAGAAGCAAAAGAUGGAAAAGGGAAGGUGAUAAACGUGAAAACAACCACAGUGACAAAUGGAGAGUUGGGAGAGCUUGUCUGAACAGGGAUUAUAAUUGGUGUACAUACACUCUCCUUAAAUAGAUAAAUGCAUUACCCCUUUCAGAGAAUAAAUGAAAAAUAAAGGAAAUACCCAGCCCAAGGACAAGGCUGCAUCUUCUAGCACCGUAAUAAAAUAGAUGCAGUGGAGGCCCAUAAAUGAAUGAAUAAAUAAAUACCUUAAGUGUAAAAGCUGACUCCGUGCCAGGGAGAGAGAUUGCAGAUAUGCACAGCAGCGUGGUGCUCGGUGUGCAGGGGCCGGGGGGGGGGGGGCUUACCUGGUGGUUCUCUCACAGGGGAGCAGGAAUAGAAAGGAGUGUCCCGGGUGGGGGGGAGUGGACUCAUCCUCUCGUGGGGAGGAGCGAUAGAAAGGAAGGUGAGAUUUGGGAAGAAAUGCAAGAAAGGAACAGGGGACAAAAAUGCUAGAUGAGCACAUAAAUAGAGCUUGUGAAGGGAAGUCUGCAUGCCCAAGGCUGGUUGUGGAGGCCCACAGAUGAGGGAGUUAGGUGUAAAGGGAUGAAUGGAGGAAGAACUG